RNAcentral lists this ribosomal RNA (492 nucleotides) under uncultured bacterium. RNAcentral describes it as "partial 16S ribosomal RNA". It matches the Rfam family "Bacterial small subunit ribosomal RNA", at positions 29 to 507 of the family's 1533-position model. The record is from RNAcentral.
AGCGAACGCUGGCGGUAGGCCUAACACAUGCAAGUCGAACGGCAGCACAGUAAGAGCUUGCUCUUACGGGUGGCGAGUGGCGGACGGGUGAGGAAUACAUCGGAAUCUACUUUUUCGUGGGGGAUAACGUAGGGAAACUUACGCUAAUACCGCAUACGACCUACGGGUGAAAGCAGUGGAUCUUCGGACCUUGCGCGAUUGAAUGAGCCGAUGUCGGAUUAGCUAGUUGGCGGGGUAAAGGCCCACCAAGGCGACGAUCCGUAGCUGGUCUGAGAGGAUGAUCAGCCACACUGGAACUGAGACACGGUCCAGACUCCUACGGGAGGCAGCAGUGGGGAAUAUUGGACAAUGGGCGCAAGCCUGAUCCAGCCAUACCGCGUGGGUGAAGAAGGCCUUCGGGUUGUAAAGCCCUUUUGUUGGGAAAGAAAAGCAGCAGGUUAAUACCCCGCUGUUCUGACGGUACCCAAAGAAUAAGCACCGGCUAACUUCGUG